GAAAUAAUGCUGCUGUGAAGGUCUUCCAUCCAAGUACUAACCAGCACCAACCCUGCUUAGCUUCUGAGAUCAGACGAGAUCAGGUGCAUUCAGGCUGGUAUGGCAGUAAACUAUAUUUGGUUUAAGGCGUCCCUUCAAGUGAUCCUAGAAGCCCUGUUCUUCCCUUUCAUAGCAUGUGAUCUCACGAUUACCUGUUCCACAUUUACUUUCUCACUCAGUCAUGGGGCCCUGUGGGCAGGCCCUGCUGCUCUUGAGCAUGGUAAGUGGCAUUCCUUCCUGGCAAAGACUCUGGGCCUUUCUCUAGUCAAGCCCCAGACUAUAUGACUUCAGUACUUACUUUUCUUCAUCCAUUCAUUCAUUCACUCAUCCAGCCACCCCUCGUGUUGAGACACGAGUUAGCAGGCCGCGCAUGUCGGGCAGAGUUGAGACACUGCAGGUGCAGGGAGGCUAGUGCAGCCUGGUCAGUGGCCCAGGGUGGCUGUGGAACGCUGUGCCACCACUCCCAUUGCUCCCUUUCCCCAGGAGGACUGUGCAGCUCCACUCUGCUAAACUCAAGCACAGCCAUGUGACUUGCUUUGGCCACUGAAAUGUGAGCAGCAGUGCAUCGUGUCACUUCUUGAAGGGCUGCAUGAACACUGCUCACGCUCUUCCUUCUGCACGUGACUGUGUACACAAAGUCCCAGAUAGAGGCUGCUUUGUGUGCCGAGUCGCUAAGAAUUCAUAGUAGGGAACAAAGCCCCAUCUGACCGGGGACAAAUGUGUGAGAGACAGUGAGUGAGCCAUGGUGAUACUGGGGUCUUACCCUGACAAUACCAAGCCAAUCACGCGAACCUAUAUGUUCUAUGCUCCUGUCACCUGACACAGCCAUUAUAGGUAGUCUGAA
This is a non-coding RNA of Microcebus murinus (gray mouse lemur), 883 nucleotides long. Lineage: Eukaryota; Metazoa; Chordata; Mammalia; Primates; Cheirogaleidae. The record is from RefSeq and is a predicted model, not a curated record.